GCGCGUUGCUGCCGUGAGGCGCUGCCGGUGUCGCGGCUGAGCCCGGUGCGCAGGCGCGGGGAGGGUGCGGCGCGCGGCGGCGUAUCGUUAAACGGCCGCCCGGCUCAGUUGUUAGCCCUGCUAGGGCCCGGGUCCCCCGCAGGCCCCGGUGCCCCCGGGAGGGGGCUAUCCAGCCGGGCCUCGGGCUUAUGAGACUUUCUGUGGUUAUUUUUCCCCCCCUGUGCUGACUCCUGCCAGUUAAAUGCUAAGAGAAGGGCUGCAAGAAGCGCUGUCUGAGUCUGAUGUCAGAGCUCUAUCCAGGCCGUGGGAGAGAAGAGGGGGAGCCUUGAUCCCCAGGUACUGUGGAGGUGAUUGGAAGGGGUUCAGUCCUGCUGUGGAGAUUUCAGCAGUGAGGAUGACCCACAGUGGUGGCAGAGGCUGUGUAUGAUAACCACUGUGACAGUGCUCUGAGCAGUCUCGAAAUCUGCAGUAGCAAGAUCCAGUGUCCCUCAUCUUUAGUAUAAACUGGCUCUGCACAGGGUUGCUGUUCUCAGUGAAAAGAGGAUCACCUGCUUCAGUUUAUGUUGAAGGUUGGUGUCUGGCCAUGGGCAGCUACACUGGAGAACCACUGUGGAGUAGCUCGGGGGCUUGGGGUGCUCAGCCGGCCGGAUUGCGGGAAGAACGGCAUCCCCCAGGAGCUGCAUGCCUGUCUGAGGGUGACCCUUGGGGACUGCGCUGUACUUGUGUGUGGGAAGAGCUCCUCCACCAGGUAGUGUGAGUAACGGUGACAAAGCAGUGCUCUGUCCUGCGGUGGGGACACAGGAUUGACAUGUCAGCUGCAGAAGCAGUCCUUUGGUGUGGAGACUGGACCUUUUAAACCCGAAGUAACUGGACUCAGACCCCGCUUGUUUCAUGGUAAUAUUCCGAGCCAACUAGACCCAGAAAGUGUAAAACGGGGUUCUCUGCAGUUUCAUUCUUCGGAACUUAAACCUGAAGCAACUGGUUGAAAACUUCACCAUUAAAAAGUUUCACUUCCCAAAUAGUGCUGUUCUAUAAAUACCCUGUGCAGUGGGAUAUGACAUUUACUCCCACACAUGAGACACAGCAUGCUUUGUAACUUGCAUAUGCUGAGCCUUAACCCUUGAGCAGUCUUUGAGUAAAACACAAGGCAAGGAACCCACUUUGGUGGGAUAGACUCAUGUUGCAACCAGUGAGCUGGUGCGGGUUGCUGUAGAGUAAAUGGCAAUAGAAUUGCAGCCAAAAUUAUUAUACUUUGUAUGGUAAAACUCACUUCUUCGAGCUCUUUGGAGAUCAUGUAGCUGAAGAUGUUGCCUUAGGAAUAACAGUGCCUUAUAUGCACUGUUAUCGACAGAUCUCGGAGCGCUUCCCUGCCCAAACCAGAAGCAGUAUUUAAGGUAGUUUGCUUUCAUUUCUGAUUCUGCUACAGUUUUAUGAUCCUUGACAAAUUUCUUAGCUCCUUGGUUUCAGCCCCAUAUAAAACACAUGAUACUGCGUUUCUCUCAAUUUUUACAUGUUGUGUGUGUGUGUAUACAUAUAUAUACGCACCCAUACUAGAAAUUCAAACAGUAGGCUCUGUCUUUGUAGGGUGAGUGCUCGUGUACUGAUGUUUUGUAAAUAUUCUGUAUAAAUAUAUAAAUAUCCUCUCUAUGUACAUAUAUAUCUCAAUGUGAGUAAGUUUGCAAUAUCCCUUUUUUAUUAAGAAACAAAUGAAGACACCUUGAUUGGUAGAUUUAAAAAUUAAUGGGUCAUCUUAUCUCAUCCUCUUGUGUGAGGUAACUUCAAGCAAGCUGUGUAUCACAGCCAGACUUGAAUGAGUUAGCAAAGCAGUCUAGCGCUGCAGCCAUACCUCUGUGGGAAAUGGAGCCCAAGAUUUUAAAAGCCCAGACUUGUAUAAUGUUGGCAUGUGACUGUUUUUCUGGUGCUAAAAGACUAUGCAGAAGAGGUCAACAGAAAUUAAUCCUAACAUUGGAAAUAGGCUGGGUUUGUUACCUCGCUGGGGUGGGAGGUACAGAAACAGAAAAUUUAGGCCUUUGUAGAAUGGGUCUGAUUCUGAUCUCGGUUACACAAUGUUGAUCUAAUUCUUUCAUCUGAAUGGCAUAAUCGUGGCUUGUGCCAGUGAAAAAUAAGAAACAGCCUCAAUGGCUUUCAAAAGUUUUUCAUCAGCUCUUUUGAAUACCAAGCAGUUCCAAUUAAUCGGAGUUUGGCCCCUGCAGGGAAUACAGUUCUGUAAAGCUUCCUCUUAUCUUUGCCAAAAUAUGAUCAAAUUGCUUGUCUUUCUGAACAAGUUCUGCUUUUGGCUCUGGUCUAUCAUCAGGAAACACAUGUCAGCAUUUUAACAGCUGUGUGUCCUGUUCAGAAUGAGCUCUUUAUCUGAGUUGGGUGCAUAGGGAGCAGGGCUAGGGCUAGCUGUCGUUUGCUCAUUUAUGGUUAGGAGUAUUGAGUAAACACCGAUUUUGCCUCUGCUGUGGAGGUCAUCCAAGGAUUUCAGCACUUUUCCAACCAACUUGCAUGAAGCUGAAUCUUCAUUAGAUUCUUCUGUGGAGGCACCAGCGUAGCGUAUAAAAAGAGGAAAUGAGCACUGGAAAGAUAAAGCCAAUAUUAUUAAAAGCAGCCUCUGAGUUUGGGUCUUGGCUGCUCAGUUCAAGGAAAUUUGAGCAUUCUUUUUCUUGUAGAUUACAGGAAUUCUCUUGUAGUGAUGGCGCCUUUUUGGGAGGGGGCUGAAAAGGUUUCCAAACUCAGCUCCAUAAAAAUCACUUUUCUGAGAGUCACAGGUUGUAUUAAAAAGAGGUGCCACUCACUGAAGCCUUACAGCAUCUCAGCUAUUUAAGGAUAUAUUAGAGAAUAAGCACAAAAUCUUUAUCAAAAUAUUACAAUAUUCAUGUGGCCUGGGUUUUUUUUUAAGCCACAGCUCUUGAGAAUUAAGCAGUAAAUGAAAAAAUCAAGUGUUGUUUUAUCAAAAGAAAUCUUUAUAUAUAGUUUGUAGAGAUCAAGCUCAUAAAUUCUAAGAAGUUGAGAGGUUGACAGUACUACUUUGAUUGAAUACUUUUGCUUUAACCAGUAACUCCUUAACCCAAAAUGUGCAACAACUUCCUCUGAGGGAGCUGGCUGUGAUUCAGCUCAUUGUAGCCAUUUGUCAAAAAUACAUCCCAGCUACAACUUCUAUUCAUUAGCACUUAGAUCUACACAUCCAGUACUUUUUUGGGGGGAAAAACUGUGCUGGAUUUUCAGACAAGCUUCUAGAGGGACUUUGUCUUCACUGAUGUGAAAAGAUCAGUAACCAAGAAGUUAAUUUCAGCAGGAGGAGCCAAAGCUGAUAUUCGCUCUGCAGGUUUUGCUUCAUAUAUAGUAGAGGACUUUGUUCUUAGAUAGCCGGUCUUGUCACAUCCCACUGUAAUUUCACUGUGUGACACAAUGCAGAUAAAAUGUCAGUAAUUAUUAUGGGAUCCCUGGCAGUUAGUGGUAUAUGCUCCCAAGCUAAGAAGUGGCAGGCAGAGUCCAAAAGCCACGUUGUCUUGCGGGGUUUCCGAGCUGUGGUGUGCAGGUCAUUCAGAAAUACCAAGUGACUUGUUGCAAGCAUGACACCUGGCAAAAAAUAGUUUGUCUGUACGUUUCAGCCAAGCAACCUGGUGGCUUACCUUUCACUGCAGCAUUGCAGCAGUGCUCCUCACAUUUGAAAGCGUUGGUUUUACUCCAGUACAUCUGCUGGCUUGCUCCUUCCACAGCAGGACGCACGUAGACACAGGGCAGUCUGGGUACUAGUGCGUUUAUUUAGAAGAAUUAAUCUAGUUAGCAAUUUUUAAAGUCCAUAGGAUGUGGGCAAAACCUGAUUGGCUUAGGUUUCAAAGUUUCCUCCUCCCCAAGUUGCAGCAGUUUAUAAAUGACUAUUCCGUGUCCAUUUCUCCCUUUCCUCAGCACAUAGGGAGAGUAGGAAGGUGCAUGACAGCGCGUCUGUACUCCUGCAUCUCAGACAAGAUAUUGUCAGCAUACUGGGACUGAUCUCUGCUGGGCAAUGAAGCCAAAUGAGGCUGGAUAAAUUCUGCCCUUUACCAGGGGUCGGGGUGUGUAAGGCUGGCGUGUGCCAUGGAGUAAAGCUUCAGCUGAGGACUGACAGAGGUGGGUGGCACAGUCAGAUGAAUCAGGUGUCAGACCCAAGCUGUCUCUAGCAGGCAGGGCUGGUGUGUGCUGCAAUGUGUGGCAUUUUCAGGUGCCGUGACUAGAGGACUCUGUCCCUCUUACUGUACACAGCAGUUUCUUUUCCUGACAGGCUGAACACAGGCAUCAUCCCCAGGGCUUGCCUUGGUGAAGCAGAAGAGCUUUCUCUCGGUCCAGGGGCUUGGAAGCACUUCUGCUCCUGGCACUGCAGAUGUAGGCUUUGGAACAAACUAAAGUGGACAAAUAGUGUGGCCUGAACCAAAACUUCUGCUUCAGGCAUUUCAGCUCUGCAAUCGCUGUUGAAUGCCAUAAUAUGGGAUCUUGUUAUGAAACAUCCUGAGGUCCAUGUCUGCAAGGCAUUCAGGAUUCCCUCUUCCUCUGCACAGUUUCCUACCAUGUUGGGAAGAGCUGCUGCACCUUCCUGUGAAGCUGAAAUGUUCAAAGCCAUCACACCAACUAAUGGUGGGUAGCGUGGAUACGCUGCCCGCAGCAGGAGCAGAUCCAGCAAUGUGGUACAGGAGCAGAGAGGAAAUCCUGAGAGUGUCGGGACAGGGAGCCCUUGAGGAGGCUCAGCUGUCGGUGGCUGCUGUUGUGCAGCCUCCCUUCUGGAAUGUCCCCUUUCAUCCCAGCCCCUGUCCUCCACUUGAACCUUCAGAAAUCCCGAGCAGUCUAUAAGGUCUCUCCUCUUACAGGCAUUCAGAUGGUCUGAAUUAAAACCCAGCAGCUGCUGCUGCCGCCUGCUGUGAUGUGCUUCCACUCUGUUUCUGCCAAGUGGCCAUCCUCCUGCCUUGCGAGAGGGUCAGCAUAGCUUCAUGUUCACACCUCCUCCCAGCCCCACCAGGAGCUGCAGCAGUGAUGAGGAGCUGCCAUACUGUGUAUCCUCUUAGCAGAUUUCUUUACUCGGCUGCUACAUCCUGGUCCCCCACUCAGGUCCUUGUACUGCUCCAGGCUGUCACCCUGCCCAAACCCCUCUCCCACCCACCCUGGGAACUCCACUAGCUCCUGUCAGCGCUGCUCAAGCACAAAUUAACAAAAUGACUGUGUGCCAUUCUAGUGUGAGUUACUAAUUCUCUCAGAUUGGAAAUACAAUAAAAUGUUGGAAAUAUUCA
Molecule: long non-coding RNA, 5261 nt
Organism: Falco peregrinus (peregrine falcon)
Lineage: Eukaryota; Metazoa; Chordata; Aves; Falconiformes; Falconidae
Exons: 3
Source: RefSeq, a predicted model, not a curated record